Molecule: ribosomal RNA, 467 nt
Filed under: Methylophilales bacterium enrichment culture clone NPHTC-001
Lineage: Bacteria; Pseudomonadati; Pseudomonadota; Betaproteobacteria; Nitrosomonadales
Description: bacterial SSU rRNA
Rfam family: Bacterial small subunit ribosomal RNA
Source: RNAcentral
GUUAUGGCUCAGAUUGAACGCUGGCGGAAUGCUUUACACAUGCAAGUCGAACGGCAGCAUAGAGAGCUUGCUCUCUGAUGGCGAGUGGCGAACGGGUGAGUAAUAUAUCGGAACGUGCCUAGUAAUGGGGAAUAACUAGCUGAAAGGUUAGCUAAUGCCGCAUACGACCUACGGGUGAAAGCAGGGGAUCUUCGGACCUUGCGUUAUUAGAGCGGCCGAUAUCUGAUUAGCUUGUUGGUGGGGUAAUGGCCUACCAAGGCGACGAUCAGUAGCUGGUCUGAGAGGACGAUCAGCCACACUGGAACUGAGACACGGUCCAGACUCCUACGGGAGGCAGCAGUGGGGAAUUUUGGACAAUGGGGGCAACCCUGAUCCAGCCAUUCCGCGUGAGUGAAGAAGGCCUUCGGGUUGUAAAGCUCUUUCGCAAGAGAAGAAAACUUGCUAUCUAAUAAAUAGUAAGUAUGACG